CUGGGAAUCUCAAGCGCCUGCAGAGGCUCCGAAACUGGAAGGGGAAUUACGGACCUUCAUCGAGCGGCUGGAAAAGCUGCUGUGGGUCUGCCCACCCUGCAGCUCAAACUGCAGGCGAAGUACAAGCGAGGAGCACGUUGCACAGCAUGGACACCACGAACCCCUCCGGCUCCGGAGCUCCUUGCAGCAUGGGAACCUGAUGGUGGCCACAGGGGAGGAGAGGUGGUGUUUCAGAUUCAGAGAGGGCUCUAGCAGGGUACAGGGGAGAGGCAGCACGCCGCCUCAGAAGUGCCUGCUCCUGGGGGCUGUCAAUAAGCACACUUUCUUGUUUGUUUGUUACCUGGUUCAGAAUAUGGUGUCUAAUGGGCAAGAAAGCCCUCAGAGCAUCAACACUUAACAUCUGCUGGCCUGUCUUCAUGAGCAGCUCUCACCCAGAACAUCUCCUAGACCUCCCUGGCUUACCCUGCUAAUCAGACCUCCAGUCCCAUUGCCCCAGAACCGCCGCAGCUGCAGCCGGGAAGAACGGCAAGGCAACGCAGCAGGCAGCUCGCACGCAGCCCGGCUUGCACCAGGUGCUUGUGCCAGGGCACUUUAUGUAUCAGUGUACCAAGGAGCCUGAGAGAAACAUCUGAGCAGGGCUCCCAGCCUCCAGGGCCUUGCAAAUCUCUGCAGUGGCCUUGGGACAUGGCUUUGCAGAGCGGGAUGUGACAUGAGCUUUAUCAUCGUUACCACGGAAACUAAGCAACCUGGAAUGAGCCAGCUCUCGUUAUCUUCAGACCUCUGCCGUUACGGGCACAAGAUCCCUGCACAGUCCCAAGGAGAAAAAGCUGCUCUCAGCAGCUCUGAGACCUCUCCCAAGAAUCCAUCAUCGUGGUCCUCCUUUCAGUACGGAUCCCGUACACUUUGUGCACACCGAUGUACCCCGAAGCAAAAUCUUCCUAUCAGAGGAGCACGACCUAGUUUUGGCCCUAAAUUUGACAAUCAGGCUCUUUGUCAGCGAGAAGAAAGAGACACCUCCAAGGGGGAGUGCCAGCGGAUCUAUGGCAGAAACCUAACUCAGGAGGAUUCAUAACUCAGGAUGGAGAUGCCAGCUUCUGCCCAUUUGUGCAUGGAAUAGCAAAGGAAAAGCUUCAUCACCGUGCUACCAAUACAGCACGGAACUAUUCAAAUAAAAAGAGAGAAAAGCUUUCUCUUUUUGACCUG
This 1203-nucleotide long non-coding RNA is filed under the name Anser brachyrhynchus (Pink-footed goose). RNAcentral describes it as "lncRNA (ENSABRG00000008480.1)". The record is from RNAcentral. Lineage: Eukaryota; Metazoa; Chordata; Aves; Anseriformes; Anatidae.